AUGUGUCAUCUAGAUUUCUUCACCGAGUUUUCAGCAAAAACACCAAAAGUUGAGGCUAAUGACCCUCAACUUGUGAAGCUUGUAUUUUUCUUGCAAAAUUCAUACAUCUUUUUAAUGAAAGUUGGACUCUCUAUGAUGACAAUGUGUUGUCUAGGUUGCUAG
RNAcentral lists this ribosomal RNA (162 nucleotides) under Triticum aestivum (bread wheat). RNAcentral's name for it is "partial small subunit ribosomal RNA". Lineage: Eukaryota; Viridiplantae; Streptophyta; Magnoliopsida; Poales; Poaceae. The record is from RNAcentral.